UACGGGGGGGGCAAGCGUUGUUCGGAAUUACUGGGCGUAAAGGGCUCGUAGGUGGCCAACUAAGUCAGACGUGAAAUCCCUCGGCUUAACCGGGGAACUGCGUCUGAUACUGGAUGGCUUGAGAUUGGGAGAGGGAUGCGGAAUUCCAGGUGUAGCGGUGAAAUGCGUAGAUAUCUGGAGGAACACCGGUGGCGAAGGCGGCAUCCUGGACCAACACUGACGCUGAGGAGCGAAAGCGUGGGGAGCAAACAGG
This 253-nucleotide ribosomal RNA is filed under the name uncultured bacterium. RNAcentral's name for it is "partial 16S ribosomal RNA". It matches the Rfam family "Bacterial small subunit ribosomal RNA", at positions 524 to 776 of the family's 1533-position model. The record is from RNAcentral.